RNAcentral lists this ribosomal RNA (250 nucleotides) under uncultured bacterium. Its description in RNAcentral is "partial 16S ribosomal RNA". It matches the Rfam family "Bacterial small subunit ribosomal RNA", at positions 524 to 773 of the family's 1533-position model. The record is from RNAcentral.
UACGGAGGGUGCAAGCGUUGUUCGGAAUUACUGGGCGUAAAGCGCGCGUAGGCGGCCGUGCAAGUCUGAUGUGAAAUCCCUGGUUUCAAGCCAGGAACUGCAUUGGAAACUGCAUGGCUAGAGUACGGGAGAGGAUCGCGGAAUUCCUGGUGUAGAGGUGAAAUUCGUAGAUACCAGGAGGAACACCGGUGGCGAAGGCGGCGAUCUGGACCAGUACUGACGCUCAGGCGCGAAAGCGUGGGUAGCAAAC